RNAcentral lists this ribosomal RNA (478 nucleotides) under uncultured bacterium. Its description in RNAcentral is "partial 16S ribosomal RNA". It matches the Rfam family "Bacterial small subunit ribosomal RNA", at positions 28 to 523 of the family's 1533-position model. The record is from RNAcentral.
GAUGAACGCUGGCGGCGUGCUUAACACAUGCAAGUCGAACGGUAAGGCCCUUCGGGGUACACGAGUGGCGAACGGGUGAGUAACACGUGGGUGAUCUGCCCUGCACUUCGGGAUAAGCCUGGGAAACUGGGUCUAAUACCGGAUAGGACUCCGGACUGCAUGGUCUGGGGUGGAAAGCUUUUGCGGUGUGGGAUGGGCCCGCGGCCUAUCAGCUUGUUGGUGGGGUGAUGGCCUACCAAGGCGACGACGGGUAGCCGGCCUGAGAGGGUGACCGGCCACACGGGGACUGAGAUACGGCCAAGCCUCCUACGGGAGGCAGCAGUGGGGAAUAGUGCGCAAUGGGAGCAAGCCUGAUGCGGCGACGCCGCGUGAGGGAUGACGGCCUUCGGGUUGUAAACCUCUUUCAGCAUCGACGAAGCGAAAGUGACGGUAGGUGCGGAAGAAGGACCGGCCAACUACGUGCCAGCAGCCGCAGUAA